UUGACAGAUCUGGAGACUAAAUUCUUCUGUUUAUGUGCAGAUCAGGCACAGCAUGGUACAACAACUCUGAAGGCUUCCCCACACUGUCCCUACAAUAUGCCUUAUUCCUUGUAUAAAGGAGCAAGCUCCAAGGGUGAGGUCAGUUCUUACACCCAUUCAUCACUUUACCUUC
Molecule: small RNA, 172 nt
Filed under: Sphenodon punctatus (tuatara)
Lineage: Eukaryota; Metazoa; Chordata; Lepidosauria; Sphenodontia; Sphenodontidae
Description: TUC338 (ENSSPUG00000014392.1)
Source: RNAcentral